AGAAGAUAUAGUUGUAAAAAAGAUUGAAUGUUAAUUUGAAAGAAGCAAACAAGUAGAAUAUUUGUUUGACACUCUGGAGAUGUCUGCAUGUGCAGACAGAUUUUCUCAUUUAGUAGGCAGAGGGGACAGGGGAAGAGUCCCUGGCUUGUCCCAGCACUCAACUUUCACCUGUUGCUUUCCCCACCUGCCACGCCUGAGUGUCCCCUCCUGGUCUCCCAGAACCCCGAGGCUUGGCCUGAGCUCACGCCCUGCCGACAGUCAGGACCUGGGGGCGCUCCAGGCUCCUCCUGGCAAAGUCUUCCUUCACCUGUGCCCUGGUGGAGGAGCUGCCUCCUGCCUUUGCUUUUGGGAAAACAAACGGAAGGGAUGGAACAGCCUAGCCGGAACAAGCCCCUUUGUCCAUCACAAGGGAGUUUCCCGUCAAGCUGUUUUUUGCCUCCAAAAUGGAAAAUCGUAACAACCGAGUGUAUAGUUCCCCACCACACAAACAAAUAGUCCCUCAUCCCUCUUCAUUUGCUAGGAGAAAAAGUCCAAGAAAGACUCAUUGUCCAGGGGGAGCCAUGGGGGUGUCUUUGUCCAGAUGGGCUCUACACCGGCACACGGGAACAGACGCUCCGCCUAAACUGUUGGGCCGUAUCAGCGACCCCUUCAAUGUGGGGACCGGGGCCCCCCCGAUCUAGCCCCUGGGGACUCCCAGGUGCAGAGAGCAGCACAGAAGCCCACCUUCAGGGCCCCUCAGUCCACAGUUUUGGGGUUGGGGUGGAGGGAGGAGUGGAAAGUGUUUUGGUCUUAUGUUAUGUUUUGCUUCUUUUCUGUGUCCCCUGUCUGCACAUUGUACUUGAAUUACUUCAGUUUUUUGUGACCUCAUGAGCUUUUUUCACCCCCUGCUUUUUUUGGGGGAGGGGUUAGGGGGUUGGAGGAACGGGGAGGAUGUCCUUUUCUGUUUCUUGUGUAAAUCAAUAGUUCAUAGACUUCAGCUGGCCUGGGCCUCCCAGCCACAAGGCGCUGUAUGGCGGAGUCAAGUGCUCAGGAUGUGAAUGGGAGGGUGGGAACAGGGGAUGGUGCCCCCACAGGGGCCUCUAUCCUAGGUUCUUAAAGCAUCAAUGCCCUGUAGGAAUUCAGCCCAAAACACUCAGGAGAAAAUCCCACCUUUCUUUUUUCUGUUGAGAAAAAAGGAAUAAAAAACUGCUUCAAUUUUUCA
RNAcentral lists this long non-coding RNA (1201 nucleotides) under Oryctolagus cuniculus (rabbit). RNAcentral describes it as "lncRNA (ENSOCUG00000037123.1)". The record is from RNAcentral. Lineage: Eukaryota; Metazoa; Chordata; Mammalia; Lagomorpha; Leporidae.